Molecule: ribosomal RNA, 253 nt
Filed under: uncultured bacterium
Lineage: Bacteria
Description: partial 16S ribosomal RNA
Rfam family: Bacterial small subunit ribosomal RNA
Source: RNAcentral
UACAGAGGGGGCAAGCGUUAUUCGGAAUUAUUGGGCGUAAAGGGCGCGUAGGCGGCCAUUCAAGUGACGGGUGAAAGCCCUCGGCUUAACCGAGGAACUGCCUGUCAGACUGGAUGGCUUGAGACCGGGAGAGGUGAGUGGAAUUCCCAGUGUAGCGGUGAAAUGCGUAGAGAUCCGGAGGAACACCAGAGGCGCAGGCGGCUUGCUGGGUCUGUAUUGACGCUCAGACACGAAAGCAUGAGGAGCGAACGGG